This is a long non-coding RNA of Brassica oleracea var. oleracea, 586 nucleotides long. RefSeq lists it as uncharacterized. The record is from RefSeq and is a predicted model, not a curated record. The transcript has 3 exons. Lineage: Eukaryota; Viridiplantae; Streptophyta; Magnoliopsida; Brassicales; Brassicaceae.
UUCUUUUCUUUUUCUCUCUGGCUCCCUCUCUCUCAGAGAGAGAUUGAUUCUCUCAUCUCUUCCAUCUCUAUACGCUUGAAAUCUCACCAACUCUCUCAUGUCUCACAUUUCAGAUCUGGUCAACUGAGAAAGGAUGGAGAUGCUAAUGUAGACGACGAAGACAGAGACUCGCUGGGACGAAGCGCCGAUGCUCACCGGAGAAGAAGAAGACGCCGGAGUAGAUGAGGCAGAGAAGAUGAUGUUUGGUGGUGGUGCAUAGAUCCGAGGAAGAGGUAGAAGAAGAAGACGCCGCCGGAGUAGAUGAGGCAGAGAAGAUGAUGUUUGGUGGUGGUGCAUAGAUCCGAGGAAGAGGUAGAAGAAGAAGAGGGGAAGGCGGCGAGUUUGGUCGCUUCGGCGGUAGAUCUCGAAGAAGAUGGAUGAGAUGGGGCAUCAUGGAAACGACCACGAUGGCGGCGUGGAGAAGGUCCAAGCUCCGGUGUGCUGGAGCUCUCGUGAUGUACUCUCGGUGGAGAGAGGCGGCGGCAGUGACAUUAGUUAGGUUUAUGGUUAGGUUAUAUUUUUUAAUUAAAUUUUAUUGUUAACUAGA